CAGGUUGACCGGGGAAUCGCGGCGCUAAGGCGUCGAGGAAAGUCCGCACUCCGAAGAGCACGGUGCUGGCUAACAGCCAGGCGGGGGAACCCGACGGAAAGUGCAACAGAGAGCAGAUUGCGUCGCAUUGCGGCGUGAGGGUGAAAGGGUGCGGUAAGAGCGCACCGGCGUCGGCAGGAAUGUCGGCGGCCAUGUAAACCCCACCGGGAGCAAGGCCAAGCAGAUGCAUUGGGGCGGCUCGUCCCGCAAAAAGCAUCGGGUAGGCUGCACGAGGUGUGUGGCAACGCACAUCCCAGAUAGAUGAUUCCUUAGAACAGAAUGCGGCUUAUGGGUCGACCUGGACU
This 344-nucleotide RNase P RNA is filed under the name Anaerolineaceae bacterium. RNAcentral's name for it is "RNase P RNA component class A". It matches the Rfam family "Bacterial RNase P class A". From Rfam's summary of the family: Ribonuclease P (RNase P) is a ubiquitous endoribonuclease, found in archaea, bacteria and eukarya as well as chloroplasts and mitochondria. Its best characterised activity is the generation of mature 5'-ends of tRNAs by cleaving the 5'-leader elements of precursor-tRNAs. Lineage: Bacteria; Bacillati; Chloroflexota; Anaerolineae; Anaerolineales; Anaerolineaceae. The record is from RNAcentral.